This 76-nucleotide small RNA is filed under the name Xanthomonas vasicola. RNAcentral's name for it is "sX9 sRNA". It matches the Rfam family "Xanthomonas sRNA sX9". The record is from RNAcentral. RNAcentral also lists the same sequence under 2 other names. Lineage: Bacteria; Pseudomonadati; Pseudomonadota; Gammaproteobacteria; Lysobacterales; Lysobacteraceae.
AUGUACCACUCGUACACUCCGGUUCCUGCGCGCCGUCCGCGCCCACCUGACGGCUGCUCGCUACGUUUUGUUAGCC